Molecule: long non-coding RNA, 676 nt
Organism: Mobula hypostoma (lesser devil ray)
Lineage: Eukaryota; Metazoa; Chordata; Chondrichthyes; Myliobatiformes; Myliobatidae
Exons: 13
Source: RefSeq, a predicted model, not a curated record
GCAGCCGGCUGGUGAGGAUGGAGGUGGGUGUGUGCUGAGGAGGUGGCUGCGGUCGGGUGGGUUCUGGUGUCCUGGCGUAGCAGCGACUUCGCACGGGCCGAGAGGCGAAUGACCCAGGUGCUUGAAUCCGGAGACAAGGCUAAAGACAGCAGCUGACUCCAGAUGUGAAGGUGACCUGUUUGAUGGCAUCAGGAUGAGGUGACCAAGUGUCGACUGGACAAACAAAUGACAAAGAUUGGAAUUUCUGUUCUCUCUGGAUGCUGGGACUGGUCUUGACAGGUGUGAAUCCAGUCAAGUCGAAGUGUCUACUGCUGAGCCUCUGACUCCAGAUAUGAAGUUGGCCUGUGGGUGGCACCAGCCCAAAUCCAAAUAUGAAGUUAGCCUGUGGAUUGCAUGGUAUCAGAUUCUGGUUUCUGUUCUCAAAAGUAUGCUGGGGCUACUGACUGGCCUUUAACAGGUGUCAGAAUGCAGCUGCUGUGACUAUUGAACUGGGGUUCAUUGGGAGCAGCAGUGGAAGUUGGCUUGGGUCCUCAUGAUUGGCAGGGUACAAAAUGGAGCCUGCCAGUCGACAUCAGCUAUUUUUAUGCCUUAUGUAUGAGUAUGUCAAUUCACCAUGUAACACUGGGAUAAUAAAAUAAAUACUGCUCAGUAUUUCUCUGCUUAUCUAAAGUAGCAU